AAUGAACGCUGGCGGCAUGCCUUACACAUGCAAGUCGAACGGCAGCAUGACCUAGCUUGCUCGGUUGAUGGCGAGUGGCGAACGGGUGAGUAAUGCAUCGGAACGUGCCUUUUAGUGGGGGAUAACGUAGCGAAAGUUACGCUAAUACCGCAUAUUCUCUGAGGAGGAAAGCAGGGGACCUUCGGGCCUUGCGCUAGAAGAGCGGCCGAUGUCGGAUUAGCUAGUUGGUGAGGUAAAGGCUCACCAAGGCAACGAUCCGUAGCGGGUCUGAGAGGAUGAUACCGCCACACUGGGACGGGAAAAAGGCCCAAACUCCGACGGGGGGCAGCGGGGGGGAAUUUUGGCAAAGGGGGGAAAGCCUGACCCAGCCAUGCCGCGGGGGUGAAGAAGGCCUUCGGGUUGUAAAGCCUUUUGGGGUGGGAAAAAAUCGCCCCCUUUAAAACAGGGUGGGGAUGACGGUACCAGAAUAAGAAGCACCGGCUAACUACGG
RNAcentral lists this ribosomal RNA (490 nucleotides) under uncultured bacterium. Its description in RNAcentral is "partial 16S ribosomal RNA". It matches the Rfam family "Bacterial small subunit ribosomal RNA", at positions 29 to 506 of the family's 1533-position model. The record is from RNAcentral.